RNAcentral lists this ribosomal RNA (253 nucleotides) under uncultured bacterium. RNAcentral's name for it is "partial 16S ribosomal RNA". It matches the Rfam family "Bacterial small subunit ribosomal RNA", at positions 524 to 776 of the family's 1533-position model. The record is from RNAcentral.
UACGUAGGGGGCAAGCGUUGUCCGGAUUUACUGGGCGUAAAGAGCGUGUAGGCGGCCAAGCAGGUCCGUUGUGAAAACUGGAGGCUUAACCUUCAGACGUCGACCGAAACCAUCUGGCUAGAGUCCGGAAGAGGAGAGUGGAAUUCCUGGUGUAGCGGUGAAAUGCGCAGAUAUCAGGAAGAACACCCGUGGCGAAGGCGGCUCUCUGGGACGGUACUGACGCUGAGACGCGAAAGCGUGGGGAGCGAACAGG